Molecule: unclassified non-coding RNA, 395 nt
Filed under: soil metagenome
Description: partial contains 5.8S ribosomal RNA, internal transcribed spacer 2, and large subunit ribosomal RNA
Rfam family: 5.8S ribosomal RNA (bases 1-122)
Source: RNAcentral
GAUGAAGAACGUAGCGAAAUGCGAUACUUGGUGUGAAUUGCAGAAUCCCGUGAACCAUCGAGUCUUUGAACGCAAGUUGCGCCCGAAGCCAUCAGGUUGAGGGCACGUCUGCCUGGGCGUCACAUAUCGUUGCCCAAUGCCUAUUGCAGUGCAAUAGGAAUUUCUAGGGCGAAUGAUGGCUUCCCGUGAGCGUUGUUGCCUCGCGGUUGGUUGAAAAUCGAGUCCUUGGUAGGGUGUGCCAUGGUAGAUGGUGGUCGAGUUAGAACGAUACCGAUCAUGUGCAUGCUCCCCAAAAUAUGGCAUCUAUGACCCACACGCGUCUUUUGACGCUCAUGACGAGACCUCAGGUCAGGCGGGGCUACCCGCUGAAUUUAAGCAUAUCAAUAAGCGGAGGA